This 440-nucleotide ribosomal RNA is filed under the name uncultured bacterium. RNAcentral's name for it is "partial 16S ribosomal RNA". It matches the Rfam family "Bacterial small subunit ribosomal RNA", at positions 338 to 795 of the family's 1533-position model. The record is from RNAcentral.
CCUACGGGAGGCAGCAGUGGGGGAUAUUGCACAAUGGGGGGAACCCUGAUGCAGCGACGCCGCGUGGGUGAAGAAGCGCCUCGGCGCGUAAAGCCCUGUCAGCAGGGAAGAAAAUGACGGUACCUGAAGAAGAAGCCCCGGCUAACUACGUGCCAGCAGCCGCGGUAACACGUAGGGGGCAAGCGUUAUCCGGAUUUACUGGGUGUAAAGGGGGCGCAGACGGGGAUGCCAGCCAGGAGUGAAAGCCCGGGGCCCAACCCCGGGACUGCUGUUGGAACUGCGUGGCUGGAGUGCAGGAGGGGCAGGCGGAAUGCCUGGUGUAGCGGUGAAAUGCGUAGAUAUCAGGAGGAACACCGGUGGCGAAGGCGGCCUGCUGGACUGCAACUGACGUUGAGGCCCGAAAGCGUGGGUAGCAAACAGGAUUAGAUACCCUAGUAGUC